Molecule: ribosomal RNA, 460 nt
Filed under: uncultured bacterium
Lineage: Bacteria
Description: partial 16S ribosomal RNA
Rfam family: Bacterial small subunit ribosomal RNA
Source: RNAcentral
CCUACGGGGGGCAGCAGUGAGGAAUAUUGGUCAAUGGACGAGAGUCUGAACCAGCCAAGUAGCGUGAAGGAUGACUGCCCUAUGGGUUGUAAACUUCUUUUAUAUGGGAAUAAAAUGUUCCACGUGUGGGAUUUUGUAUGUACCAUAUGAAUAAGGAUCGGCUAACUCCGUGCCAGCAGCCGCGGUAAUACGGAGGAUCCGAGCGUUAUCCGGAUUUAUUGGGUUUAAAGGGAGCGUAGGUGGAUUGUUAAGUCAGUUGUGAAAGUUUGCGGCUCAACCGUAAAAUUGCAGUUGAAACUGGCAGUCUUGAGUACAGUAGAGGUGGGCGGAAUUCGUGGUGUAGCGGUGAAAUGCUUAGAUAGCACGAAGAACUCCGAUUGCGAAGGCAGUUCACUGGACUGCAACUGACACUGAGGCUCGAAAGUGUGGGUAUCAAACAGGAUUAGAUACCCCAGUAGUC